UCCAUGGCGACGCCGCCCGCCGGGAGCCGGGCCCGGGAGCGCGGGCACGCGCGGCGCCGGGAAUGCCGCUGGCGCUCCGGGAAUGCCGCGGCCCCGGCCCGGUUACCGGCUCCCAGCCGCUGCCGCGCCCCGGCUGCUGCUCCCAGCGGGCUCAGGCCCGAAGGCUUUGAGAGGAGCCCCGGGCUGCGGCGGGGCCGCGGCCGCGCACCGCCCUCCUCCGCCCAGCCCCGGGAGGAGCUGCUCCCGGAGCCUCCGAGCGCGGCAGCCCGGACGGACCGCGGCCGGACGCCUGGUCCAACCCGCCUGCUCCAGCAGGGCCGUCCCACAGCGCUCUGGAGCCAGGGAAACUCCACACUGUCUCUGCACAAGCUGUUGUGCGCGGUCACUGCACACUAAAGAAGUUCUUCCUAAUGUUCAGGCAGAAAUUCCUGUACAUCGGUUUCUGCCCGUUGCCUCUUCUGCUGCUGGGCACCACGGAGCAGAGCCUGGAUCCAUCCUCCUGACAUCCCCCUUUAGAUGUUUAUGCACAGGGAUGAGGUCCCCUCUGUCGUCUCGAGGCUGAACAGCCCCAAUUCUCUCAGCCUCUUCUCACACCAGAGAUGCUCUAGUCUCUUAAGGAUUUUUGUUACCCUCCCACCAGACCCACUCCAUGUCUGUUUUUUGCAACCUUAGUUAUAAAGCUGCAUUUUAAAGCAACUACUUCUUUAUCCUUCAUGGAAAAAUUUGCAGUACUCCCACUCUAUAACUGAGGUGAGAAUGGGAAAUAGAUGUCCUGUGCAGAAGCUCUUUACCAACGUGUAUUUGGCCAUCUUGUUCCCUGGGCUCAUGACUGCUGUUCUGUUGGCUGUGCGGAAUGAACCUCCAUGUUCCCUCAGACCAGCACUGUCUUCAUCCUCUGUGCUGUGGAAGGCACCUGAUCUCCAUAACACUGCUGCUCCCAAUGAGCACUAAAUCUGAGCCAUCAAAACAUGGGAGAGCAGUAUGUGGAACAAAGGAUCGAUUUUCAUUCAUAACUUCAUGAAAUAAUAACGCACUUCUCCUUGGCUCACAGCUCUGGCACAGCAAUGACUUUUGGCAAGCUCCCUCCAAAUACUCCAAGAUUUUCCAGCUUGUUCUUUUUUGCCAUCAGGUUGCAGAGCAAUACCUAACUGCUGCUUUGGGUGAAGCCAUCGGCACAGGCUGAGUGUAGUCUGGAACAGGCUGCACAGAUGUCAAGAGAAAGCUGGGGACAUUAGUGCUUAAAGGAUGCCAGGUCUGAGUAAACUGAAAGCAGAUUCUUACUUCUGGUGAUUCUACACUCACUGUUUGGCAGCCUAAAGCUUUGUAAACAAAUGUUGAGAAAUGCAGCUGGCAUAGGUAAAAGUAUAUUUUUUUCUCCCCUCUUAGGUAAAACUUGCACAGAAAAUAUUAGACUUUUAUUCUCUCUUUUGCUGCAAGACUUCAGGGGACAACAACUGCACAAAACCUAGAAGCUUCCUUGUGCAACUGACAAAUUGUGGACAUGGUCUUUAUGCGUUUUCUUCACAUUUUUAUUUUAAAGCAGGUAAAGUCUGUACAAAAAUAAAUUUGUCACAUAACCAGCUCUAAUAUUGGGAUGUUUUUUCCUGUUACUACAUGACCUUUUCCUUGCUCCUCGCAGAGACUUUUAGAAUAGUUUAUGCCUAUAUUCAAGACACUGUUCAUGAGCAGCAGCAUGAAUGAUGCCUGGUUUCUCACAGGUCUGUGUUCUUUGU
Non-coding RNA from Taeniopygia guttata (zebra finch), 1733 nucleotides. The record is from RefSeq and is a predicted model, not a curated record. Lineage: Eukaryota; Metazoa; Chordata; Aves; Passeriformes; Estrildidae.